RNAcentral lists this ribosomal RNA (464 nucleotides) under uncultured bacterium. RNAcentral's name for it is "partial 16S ribosomal RNA". It matches the Rfam family "Bacterial small subunit ribosomal RNA", at positions 28 to 506 of the family's 1533-position model. The record is from RNAcentral.
GAUGAACGCUGGCGGCGUGCUUAACACAUGCAAGUCGAACGGAAAGGCUCCUGCUUGCAGGGGUACUCGAGUGGCGAACGGGUGAGUAACACGUGGGUGAUCUGCCCUGCACUUCGGGAUAAGCCUGGGAAACUGGGUCUAAUACCGGAUAGGACGAUGGUUUGGAUGCCAUUGUGGAAAGGUUUUCGGUGUGGGAUGAGCUCGCGGCCUAUCAGCUUGUUGGUGGGGUAAUGGCCUACCAAGGCGUCGACGGGUGGCCGGCCUGAGAGGGUGUACGGCCACAUUGGGACUGAGAUACGGCCCAGACUCCUACGGGAGGCAGCAGUGGGGAAUAUUGCACAAUGGGCGCAAGCCUGAUGCAGCGACGCCGCGUGGGGGAUGACGGCCUUCGGGUGGUAAACUCCUUUCGCUAGGGACGAAGCGCAAGUGACGGUACCUGGAGAAGAAGCACCGGCUAACUACGU